GAUUAAUGUACCAUCGGCUUUCGGUACAACAGCGAAGGAGUGAAGACUACCUGAGUAUUGUUGUGCAAAUCUUUAGGCAUCGGCCCUAAUUUUUAUUGUUUUCUGUUAUUUGGUGAGUCCAUUUAACGCAUCCAGUUAUAUAUCAGUUUUUGUGGCUGGUAGUUUCCUCCUCUUGACCCUCUAACCUCAACCAUGGGGGACUCUUCGGGGGCGAGGGCCCCCCGACGGUUAGUGCAGCACAAGAAAAUGACAGUUUAUCCAAUGAUUCUCAAAAUCGUCCGUUGAACGCCAUUAUUUGUAACAUUUUGCCACCGGAUUGCAAAAAAACUGCUGAAGAUAUUUCCAGGCUCCAGUAUUUUGAUGUGCCCUCAGGUGAAGAGUUGUCAAAGUUAUCGGCAGAGAUCCAGAUUAUCAAGAAUCAGUUCGAGCAAGACGCUGAAAUCCUGCGGGAAGUUGCCAAAAUCUCCGCAAACAUAUGAAGGACAGUAAAUCGGAAAACAAAAUAUGAAAUCACCGACCAGGGGCCUUUUAUGGUGAUUCUGGAGGGGAUUACAAGUAAGGUGGGGAAUCUUCAUCCUAUGAACUUUGGGAAGUUACUUCAAGCGCAGAAAGUUCAAGGUAUAUUGAAAAUUUCUAGAAAAGGAGCCAAUAAAAUCGGUUUGGAGUUUAACACCUCUGAGUCUGCAAAUAAAUUUUUAUCUAAUGAAACCUAUUCGACAGCUGGUGGGUAUAAUAAGUAUAUACCUCAAAGACUAGUCACUUGCCGAGGGUUGGUGAGGGACAUUGGUGACUUAAUUGAUGAGGAUGAUUUUUACUCUGAGGCAGAAGCCAAGGUUAACAUCGGAAGAUCGCUAAAGCGCGUUAAGAUUGUUAAUGUUCGCAGACUAACUAAAAGGGUCAAAUGCCCAGGUGUUCUGCCUGGCACUUUUGGUUUCAAGACAGUUCCAUCUAAUGAUUAUAUAAUAACAUUUGACGGUAAAACUCUUCCAGAAUCAAUCAGUAUCUAUAAAAAUGAGUGUUCAAUCGAAAAAUAUGUUAGUCCUGUUGUCUUAUGUAUGAAUUGUUGCAGGUUUGGUCAUUGGAAAAACCAAUGUAAAAGCAAGGGUAGAUGUAGUUUCUGCGCUGGAGAUCAUCCAGUAUUUCAUUGUGAACUGAAAGAACAGUUUUAUAAGAAGAAACCAUGCCCGACAGACCACUUAAAUCAUGAAGGUAAAUGCAGCCUGGGUAAUUGCGAAAUAUCUCCAAAGCCAACUUGCAUCCAUUGUAAAGGCUCUCAUCAGGCCACUGAUAGAUCAUGUCCGGAAAUGGACAGACAGAAGAAAAUCAAUGAGGCUAUGGCAUGGUACAACUUGUCCUUUUUUGAAGCGGCCAAACUCUUUCCAAGAGGCCCCAAAUCAAGUGAGUUUAAUCGCUCUAAUGAAAAUUUCCCUCCUAUUCAUAACACGGUUGCCCCCGUCUCUCAGCCUUCCCCUAGAUCUGCUUCUAAAACUUAUUCUGUCAUAGCAAAAAAGCGUAAGUCCCCCCAAAUAGAAUCAGGGUAUGAUAGGGACGCCCACAGGGAUUGUCUCGUGCCGCCGUUGACUAGGCAGAAGUUGAAUCACACUAGCAAAAGUCAAUCUUCUCCCUCAUAUUUAAAUGAUUUAUCGUCAGAGUCCGAGAUGGACACUGCUUCUCCAGGGGUUUCCUCCUCUGGUGAAUUUUGGUAUCGGUUUGAAAAUUAAAGAAAAAAGUCUUGUCCAAUAUACCCAGUAAAAGUGCUCACCAUGAAAUUGAGAGUCUUUUUGACUCCCUGCCUCCUCCCGGAGGAUGCAGGUUUUAAUUUAUUAAUGUUCCCAGAUCGACAGUCAAAUCUUUCUGUUAAAAUUAGUAAUUUCUCAAUUAUUCAUUGGAACACUUGCGGUAUUAGAAGUAAUUGUGAUAGUAUUAUUAGACUUAUUCGUGACUUUGGUCCGGAUAUAGUCAUGAUUAAUGAAUCUUUUUUACUCCCAUGGGAAGAGACAUUUAUAUUUACCGAUGCCUCUAAGGGACCAGAUGAUAGAGUUGGCUUUGGAGUAUUUAUUCCGUUUCUCAAUGUUAGGGUCGGGCAUGGGUUGAAUAGCGCGUUUUGUAUUUGCUCUGCAGAAAUGGUAGCUAUUAGUUACGCCCUAGAUCUUAUAUUAGAUUAUAAUAUUAAACAGGCAGUAGUUGUGUCCGAUUCCAAAAGUGCCCUGCAGAGCUUCGGAUGCAGUGCGGUUGAAGCUUCCAACAGCUACAUUCUACUAGAUAUUAAAGCAAAGAUUGAUAUUUUAAAGCGCAGACUUGGGGGGAAAAUCCGAAAAAUCGACAUUUAGAACUUCUGAGAUUAGUCUCCUUCGCUGGAGAAGAUCCGAAAAUCCUCGACAUUUGGAACUUUAAAGUUUAGUCUCCUUCGCUGGAGAAGAUCUGACAAUCCUCGACAUUUGGAACUUCAAAAAUCAGUCUUCUUCGCCAGAGAAGAUACGAAAAUCCUCGACAUUUAGAACUUCAAAAUUCUGUCUCCUUCCUGGAGAAGAUCCGAGAAUCCUCGACGGAAGUCGGCAAUGGGCGAAUGAUCCUGGUAGUCGUGCCCAACAGUUAUCUGUGAACGCAUCAUUGAAUUGAAUGUACCAUCGGUCACUGAUCUUCGUUUUGUCGUAGCCAGAGAGAAAACUUUCGCUCUAUGACAUUUAUUUGUAAACUUAUUCUUUGAUCUCAUAUUUCGAAAUUAAGGAAAUUCUGGGCUGCUCAAAGGAAAUAGGUUUUACUUGAGUUAGCUAUGUUGUGCAUUAAUCCUGCUAGAACAUGGCUAUGCUUUAAUUUUAGCGUACUUAAACAUAUUUCACCAGAAUUCGCCCAUGCCAAGACACUUCCUAUAUACCACAGCAAAAUGAAACCGUUUUCACUGUAUAUAUUUUAGGCGUUUUGAGAAUCGAGAAUUUUUGCAUAAAUAUGAGGUUUUACUAGUAAAUUAUGGAAAUGCUAGAAUUUAGUAGUCGUUUGGAUGGUGAAGGCGAUGUGAGCAACACCACUGUUGUCUAAUUAUAAUGAUUUAACCUAAAACAAACCUCCCCUAUGGUUUGUUUAGAAGAUGUAGGUAAAAUUAAACAAAUUCGGUCUUCAUGUUUGGCUUGUUUUUCAGCGGGAAUGCAUGAAUGGACUCGAUCCUGUAUUAUCUUAUAUAUGGAGUCAAAGCAGCCAGAAUUUCUAAUGGAAUUUGAAGCAGUUGAAAGCAGGCUAUCUGUAUUAGCUAUUUAUACGAAACUCGUGGAAACGGGGUAAUUUUGAACAAAAUAUGAGUUUCUAGUUGUUAAAGCUCUAUGAAUAGAAAACCAGUUGCUGUUUUUCUCAAGUUUCAUAUAGUUGCAAGGAUGACAUAUUUUGGGUGCUGUCACAUAAUGGCACCAGUAUUUGAUGCUGCUAGGAGGGAAUUUUAAAGUACAACCUUUUGGCAUUCGAAUUGACUUGGUUAUCUUGUUGAGCUUUGGUUAUGUGAAUACCAAGUUCGCAAUGAAGAAAUUGGAAGGCUAUUUGAACAGAUGGGUCAUUUUCAACUUUGAUAUUGCAGUAAUAACAUCGAUUUCUAUGACAGGAAAGGGCUGUAAAUGAACGUCGGAAUUUCAAGGAAACCCACCUGAUAAUUAUAGUUGCUAGCCUGUAAAUAAACGGAUUUAAAAUACAUAUUACUUGAUUAUUUUGAAACAUUUGAUUAGGAAUACCUUUGUUGAAUUCUUCAUAAUUCGACAAAUAUUUUUUAUAUGCAGGUGUAAUAUAUUUUUUUGUUUAUUCUCGAUCGUAAAAAUUUAUAAUCAUCCAAACAUUGGCAUAACCAUGUUUUUUUAUAUAAUUUCAAAUUUCGAACCUUAGAUUUUUUAUAUCAUGCCUUCUUGAUUAUCAAAUAUCGGGACAAUUGAAAUCGCUUUCAAUUCAUAUAUGGUGUUCCAACAAAAAUUAUUUUGACAUUUAAGCGUAAGGUUGCCAUUGGCAAAUAUUUUUUAAAAUUUUCAAAGAAAAUUUCACAGGCUACGGUAAUACUAUAUACAAAUCUUCUGGAUUCCUCACCUAAUUUUGUUAUUUUAAAUGGUAUGCCCUAUUUAUUUUGGUUGCAAUGAAUUGUCGGAUUUGUUUCUAAUUAAUUACUGAGCUCCGGCAACACCGCUUUUUCAGUAAAAUGUGCCGGAACCCUGAAAUAUCUCCAAAACAGCCAAAUCUGAAAGGAUACAUUUCAACAUCUUAGGUCACCUAGUCAGAUUUACCACCGUUAAUAAAAAAUUAUUAACUUCUUAGAAGUGUUUCAACGGAAGGUUAUCAGAAUUAUAAAUCAGUGCGAAAUCUGACAGCAUUGCAUGUCUGAAAAUCAGCAAGUAUUGAAUUUUAUUGUUCCAGGUCACUCAGUCACAGAAAAAACGUAAAAUUAAAAAAAAACACAUUUGCUCAAAAUUAAAUAUGAUUAAUAAAUCAAUAAGACGUUAUAUGAUUCCACAAUGUCUUCUUGAAACUAACGUGCAUGAUAAUUUUUAUUAUUUAUUCUUAUUAAAGCGAAAGUAAUGUAAAUGUUUAAAAGAACAAUUUAAACAGAUAUAGAUAUGGAUUUAAAACAAAGAGGCCAUCAUUGUAUUUUGUUUCUGUCAACGCUAUCCUUAAACGUGCACUAUUAAUGUAAUAUGUUUUCUUACAAAAUAUAAUUACAUUGAAUAAAACGAACAGAUUGUUUUCAAUCAUACCUAAUUGCCUUCACUCAGGUUUUGGUAUAAAAUGAAAGAAAAUUCUUAACAAUGUUUAGGUGUGAUCUUUCAUCUUCAUCGUUGCACUGUUUUGUGAUGCUUAAUUUUAUUCAGUGCAUAUGUGAUAUACAAGGUGUUUUCUAAUUGAAUGUCAAUAAUUUGGGCGGCGAUUUUUGGGUGAAUUUUAAAAAGAAAACUUAGUAUGAACAUAUGUCCUAAGCGUCUUAACUUUUGAGAUACAGGGUGGUAAAGUUUUCAAAAAUAAAAUAUAUUUUUUUAAUAUCUUUAGAUAUUUUAAUAACAUUUCUCACACAUGCACUAUUUAUUUAGUGUACCACAAUUUUUUAAAAAUAUAUCAGUGGCGGAAUUACACUGAUUUUUCUUAAAAUAAAAAUUAUAAAUAAAAUAAAUAAAAAUAAAAAAAUCAUAAAAAUAAAGAAAUGUAAUCCGAUGUACGGUUCUCGCUUUAAAAAAAUAAAAACCUCUUCUCUGCACGAUCAUAGCAAUAUCGUUAGUAUGACAGCAGAGAGAAUUAUUAUCAUUACUAUUUCUUACUUAAGUAAUUGUCUAUAUGUAGAAGACCUGAAGGAUCGUAUAAGAACUGCCUGUGAUUUAAUAAUAAACACUGGAGGUAUACUUCAAAGAGUGCGUGGCAAUAUUGGGAAAAGAUCUAAAGCGUGUGAGCCUUACGGCGAGGUACACUUUCAGCAACUCAUCUAUUUUCUAUGUUUGACUUCUUUUCAAAAAAGCUGUUAUUAAUUUAUUAACAGACAAUUUUCUAAAAAAAUAUUAAUACUAAGUAAGUAUAUUAAAUAAUAAAUAAGAAUAGAUUUAUAUUUUAUAUUUCAUAAUCCCGAUUUAUCCAGUGCAGUGGCGACGUAAUUAAUCAAAAUAAUUGUUCUGAUCUCGUAAUUUUUUUUUUUGGUCCGUCGCACGGUUUUUACUUUCAAGAAAUUAAAUUUGUUUAGAAAGCAUUGGAGAUUGUAAAAAUUAUUUUUAUUUUAAGAGGGGUCAGGGCUUGCUAUCAAUUUCUGCCCAAAUAGACAGAUGGAAUUACGUAGGACCGCCACUGGUGUAUUUAAAAAAAAAGUGGUACACUAAAUAAUACCCCUUGAUACAUAGUACAUGGGUGUCAAAUUUCAUUAAACCAACUAUAGUGGUAUGACAGAUAUUAAAAAAAUAUAUUAUUUUUGAAAACUUAACCGCCCUGUAUCUCAAAAGUUAAGACAUAUGUUCAUAUGAAGAUUUCUUUUUAAAAAUGGACCAGAAAUUCGCCGCCCAAAUUUAUUAUUAUUGUUUAUAAUUAUUAUUACAAUGAAUAAAGUGCUGAGGAGAACCUAUUAUGCACAUUGAUAGUAGAAUGUUAUACAUAUAAUAAAUAUUUAGUUAUUGCUAUGAAACAAUAUACUGUCCAAGCGACAUUUAAAUACAGACAAGUUUGGCGCACACACAUCUGGGGAUAAACUGUUCGAAUAAUCGAAAGUCUUGUUACUUAUAAAAUGCAGGCGAUGCGAAGUCCUGAUUUGUUCCUUU
RNA transcript from Cylas formicarius (sweet potato weevil), 6251 nucleotides. It is a transcript of the gene named putative nuclease HARBI1, with no coding region annotated. Lineage: Eukaryota; Metazoa; Arthropoda; Insecta; Coleoptera; Brentidae. The transcript is spliced from 3 exons. The record is from RefSeq and is a predicted model, not a curated record.